GAUGAACGCUGGCGGCGUGCCUAAUACAUGCAAGUCGAGCGAACGGACGAGAAGCUUGCUUCUCUGAUGUUAGCGGCGGACGGGUGAGUAACACGUGGAUAACCUACCUAUAAGACUGGGAUAACUUCGGGAAACCGGAGCUAAUACCGGAUAAUAUUUUGAACCGCAUGGUUCAAAAGUGAAAGACGGUCUUGCUGUCACUUAUAGAUGGAUCCGCGCUGCAUUAGCUAGUUGGUAAGGUAACGGCUUACCAAGGCAACGAUGCAUAGCCGACCUGAGAGGGUGAUCGGCCACACUGGAACUGAGACACGGUCCAGACUCCUACGGGAGGCAGCAGUAGGGAAUCUUCCGCAAUGGGCGAAAGCCUGACGGAGCAACGCCGCGUGAGUGAUGAAGGUCUUCGGAUCGUAAAACUCUGUUAUUAGGGAAGAACAUAUGUGUAAGUAACUGUGCACAUCUUGACGGUACCUAAUCAGAAAGCCACGGCUAACUACGUGCCAGGCAGCCGCGGUAAUACGUAAGUGGCAAGCGUUAUCCGGAAUUAUUGGGCGUAAAGCGCGCGUAGGCGGUUUUUUAGUCUGAUGUGAAAGCCCACGGCUCAACCGUGGAGGGUCAUUGGAAACUGGAAAACUUGAGUGCAGAAGAGGAAAGUGGAAUUCCAUGUGUAGCGGUGAAAUGCGCAGAGAUAUGGAGGAACACCAGUGGCGAAGGCGACUUUCUGGUCUGUAACUGACGCUGAUGUGCGAAAGCGUGGGGAUCAAACAGGAUUAGAUACCCUGGUAGUCCACGCCGUAAACGAUGAGUGCUAAGUGUUAGGGGGUUUCCGCCCCUUAGUGCUGCAGCUAACGCAUUAAGCACUCCGCCUGGGGAGUACGACCGCAAGGUUGAAACUCAAAGGAAUUGACGGGGACCCGCACAAGCGGUGGAGCAUGUGGUUUAAUUCGAAGCAACGCGAAGAACCUUACCAAAUCUUGACAUCCUUUGACAACUCUAGAGAUAGAGCCUUCCCCUUCGGGGGACAAAGUGACAGGUGGUGCAUGGUUGUCGUCAGCUCGUGUCGUGAGAUGUUGGGUUAAGUCCCGCAACGAGCGCAACCCUUAAGCUUAGUUGCCAUCAUUAAGUUGGGCACUCUAAGUUGACUGCCGGUGACAAACCGGAGGAAGGUGGGGAUGACGUCAAAUCAUCAUGCCCCUUAUGAUUUGGGCUACACACGUGCUACAAUGGACAAUACAAAGGGCAGCGAAACCGCGAGGUCAAGCAAAUCCCAUAAAGUUGUUCUCAGUUCGGAUUGUAGUCUGCAACUCGACUACAUGAAGCUGGAAUCGCUAGUAAUCGUAGAUCAGCAUGCUACGGUGAAUACGUUCCCGGGUCU
RNAcentral lists this ribosomal RNA (1372 nucleotides) under uncultured bacterium. Its description in RNAcentral is "bacterial SSU rRNA". It matches the Rfam family "Bacterial small subunit ribosomal RNA", at positions 28 to 1381 of the family's 1533-position model. The record is from RNAcentral.